RNAcentral lists this ribosomal RNA (349 nucleotides) under Klebsiella quasipneumoniae subsp. similipneumoniae. Its description in RNAcentral is "bacterial SSU rRNA". It matches the Rfam family "Bacterial small subunit ribosomal RNA", at positions 57 to 404 of the family's 1533-position model. Lineage: Bacteria; Pseudomonadati; Pseudomonadota; Gammaproteobacteria; Enterobacterales; Enterobacteriaceae. The record is from RNAcentral.
GCAAGUCGAGCGGUAGCACAGAGAGCUUGCUCUCGGGUGACGAGCGGCGGACGGGUGAGUAAUGUCUGGGAAACUGCCUGAUGGAGGGGGAUAACUACUGGAAACGGUAGCUAAUACCGCAUAAUGUCGCAAGACCAAAGUGGGGGACCUUCGGGCCUCAUGCCAUCAGAUGUGCCCAGAUGGGAUUAGCUAGUAGGUGGGGUAACGGCUCACCUAGGCGACGAUCCCUAGCUGGUCUGAGAGGAUGACCAGCCACACUGGAACUGAGACACGGUCCAGACUCCUACGGGAGGCAGCAGUGGGGAAUAUUGCACAAUGGGCGCAAGCCUGAUGCAGCCAUGCCGCGUGU